AUGUGGGAGUCGGUGGCGCUCACGCUGGCCGGCGCCGCCGGCAACAGCAUCGGCAAGGUCCUCCAGAAGAAGGGCACCCACAUCCUCCCGCCCCUCUCCUUCAAGCUCAAGGUCAUACGGGGCUACGCGCUCAACAGGCUCUGGAUCAGCGGCUUCCUCCUGGACAUGUGCGGCGCCGCCCUCAUGCUCACUGCGCUCUCGCAGGCGCCGGUCUCUGUCGUGCAGCCGAUUGCCGGCUGCGGCCUCGCCAUACUCUGCGUCUUCUCCCAUUUUUACCUCAAGGAGGUCAUGAAUGGCCUUGAUUGGCUUGCCAUCACAAUGGCCGGUCUCGGCACCAUAGGAGUCGGUGUAGGAGGGGAGGAGCAGAAAGUGGAAGAGAUUCCCCUUUUCAGUAUACCUUGGCUGGUGCUCACCGUUCUCAUCUUGUUUGUUCUGCUCAACACUUGGCUUCAUAUCUACAAAAAGCAAAGGCGCGAACAAGAGUUGACUGGACCUGAAGUGAUCGAGGAGGUCAUAUACGGCUUAGAAUCAGGCAUUUUGUUUGGGAUUUCAUCAGUGAUCUCUAAGAUGGGAUUUGUGAUGUCUGAAAUGGGCUUUCCGAAGAUUGUUGUGCCAGCUGCCAUUUCUUGUAGUGUGGCCUGCAGUGCUGUGGGAUUUGUUUACCAGACUCGAGGUCUCAAGCAUGGGAGGGCAAUUGUUGUGUCCACGUGUACAUCGGUGGCAUCUAUUGUGUCUGGUGUUGUGGCUGGUAUGGUUGCACUUGACGAACAUCUGCCGACAGCUCCUGCAGGACGUUUUUUUCUCCUGCUUGGAUGGUUCUUCAUUAUUACGGGGGUGAUACUUCUUGUUACUUCAACCCGAUUGAUUGCGCGCCUACCUAAGCCUGUGCAGAAGUUUUUGAAGAGUAAUAUGGAGCGUUCACACAGCAUCAGGAGGCCUGGACCAGCCCGAGGGAAGGAUCCCAACCAAAGCACAACAAUCCAUGCAUCGACAUUACAUAUACUAACCUCUACAGGAAAAGAGAAGGCCUAG
RNAcentral lists this ribosomal RNA (1032 nucleotides) under Triticum aestivum (bread wheat). RNAcentral's name for it is "partial small subunit ribosomal RNA". Lineage: Eukaryota; Viridiplantae; Streptophyta; Magnoliopsida; Poales; Poaceae. The record is from RNAcentral.